GAUGAACGCUAGCGAUAGGCUUAACACAUGCAAGUCGAGGGGCAGCACAAGGUAGCUUGCUAUCUGGGUGGCGACCGGCGCACGGGUGCGUAACGCGUAUGCAACUUGCCCUAUACAGGAGGAUAACCCGUCGAAAGACGGACUAAUACUGCGUAUGCUCACAACUUGGCAUCAAGUGGUGAGGAAAGAAAUUCGGUAUAGGAUAGGCAUGCGUCCCAUUAGCCUGUUGGUGAGGUAACGGCUCACCAAGGCAACGAUGGGUAGGGGAACUGAGAGGUUUAUCCCCCACACUGGUACUGAGACACGGACCAGACGCCUACGGGAGGCAGCAGUGAGGAAUAUUGGGCAAUGGGCGCGAGCCUGAACCAGCCAAGUCGCGUGAAGGAUGACUGUCUUAUGGAUUGUAAACUUCUUUUAUACGGGAAUAACAAGAGUCACGGGUGACUCCCUGCAUGUACCGUAUGAAUAAGCAUCGGCUAACUCCGUG
Molecule: ribosomal RNA, 487 nt
Filed under: uncultured bacterium
Lineage: Bacteria
Description: partial 16S ribosomal RNA
Rfam family: Bacterial small subunit ribosomal RNA
Source: RNAcentral